UACGAACAGGGUGCCACACUUUGUAUUUCACAAGCUCACGAAUCUACCUUUGCAUUUGUGCAAGCUGCCAUUUGGGUUUUUUCCUUGCGGCAGUGACAUUGUCACUUCACGGUCGCCAUGUCGACGACGACGACGACGACGAGAAGGUUCACGAAACAUGUCCCCAUCCAGAUGUGUGAACCCACGCGGCGCCAAAACAAAAUCCGGAACUGCUUCUUACUUCAAACGCUCCCCAGAGCAGAAGAGUCGUGCACUUUGAUGUGCAUCGCUGAGAUUAGAGAUGCGUUUGACUCUUUGAUUGGAGGAGAUAUUUACAGCACACACACACACAGUGAGAGGGAGACGUGUCUCAUCCGCCCACAACAAAGCUCGCUUCUGAAGGGGCGGUGAGAGGAAACACAAGGGCUGUUUAGAUACCGGAUGAAGGACCGAAAGGCUCUCGAGAGGAAGAGGAGGAGGGUGACAGUCGGAAUGCAUUCAGCAUGCUGGUAAUGACGAGUGGGAAUGCGGACCGAGGAUCAUUAGAGACCGACUGGCGGUCUUCUGUCCGCUGACCGCGUCGAGUGGGGACAGCUGCAAUGACGUGAUCGCCCUCGAUUUCCCGAGCCGACCCUCCCUCAGACCCCCGGCUUUGGGGACCGGCCUGGAUGGCCGAGGGGAGGCAGUGACCUCAGAGUCAGGCUGGUUCAGCGGUUUCAGCGCCUCCUCCUCGGUUUGGUUUCAAAAACCGACUUGCCCCAAAAACUGAGGUGGUUACAUACGCAGAGACUCAAAUUAUUCCUCAGACGAGUCUCCUCAGCCUGAGACAAGACCGUUAAUAAGUACAGAUGACUGGCACUAGCCAACAGAACGCUUCUGUAGACGGCAGUGAAACAUGUGGAAGCCAAAGAAGAACAUUCAGUAUAUAUUUGCACAUAAUUUAGUAUUAAUUAUACCAGUGAAACUGCUGCUCUCCGGUUCAUCUUUGAAGGAAG
Long non-coding RNA from Gasterosteus aculeatus aculeatus (three-spined stickleback), 974 nucleotides. The record is from Ensembl. NCBI's taxonomy places the organism in Eukaryota, Metazoa, Chordata, Actinopteri, Perciformes, Gasterosteidae.